UGGGGAAUAUUGCACAAUGGAGGGAACCCUGAUGCAGCGACGCCGCGUGAGUGAUGAAGGAAUUCGUUUCGUAAAACUCUGUUCUAUGGGAAGAAAAGGACUGUACCAUAGGAGAAAGCCCCGGCUAAAUACGUGCCAGCAGCCGCGGUAAUACGUAUGGAGCGAGCGUUGUCCGGAAUUAUUGGGCGUAAAGGGUGCGCAGGCGGCUUUACAAGUUGGAUGUGAAAUAUUGUGGCUCAACCACAAACGUGCAUCCAAAACUGCAAAGCUUGAGUUAAGGAGAGGUAAGUGGAAUUCCUGGUGUAGCGGUGAAAUGCGUAGAUAUCAGGAGGAAUACCGGUGGCGAAGGCGGCUUACUGGACUUAAACUGACGCUCAGGCACGAAAGCGUGGGGAGCAAACAGG
RNAcentral lists this ribosomal RNA (404 nucleotides) under Fusobacteriota bacterium. RNAcentral describes it as "Fusobacteria bacterium partial 16S ribosomal RNA". It matches the Rfam family "Bacterial small subunit ribosomal RNA", at positions 355 to 776 of the family's 1533-position model. The record is from RNAcentral. Lineage: Bacteria; Fusobacteriati; Fusobacteriota.